Molecule: microRNA, 24 nt
Filed under: Macaca mulatta (Rhesus monkey)
Lineage: Eukaryota; Metazoa; Chordata; Mammalia; Primates; Cercopithecidae
Description: Mml-Mir-430-P10_3p* (star (passenger))
Source: RNAcentral
AAAGCACCUCCGGGGCUUGAAGCU